This 465-nucleotide ribosomal RNA is filed under the name Vreelandella stevensii. Its description in RNAcentral is "partial 16S ribosomal RNA". It matches the Rfam family "Bacterial small subunit ribosomal RNA", at positions 338 to 795 of the family's 1533-position model. Lineage: Bacteria; Pseudomonadati; Pseudomonadota; Gammaproteobacteria; Oceanospirillales; Halomonadaceae. The record is from RNAcentral.
CUUACGGGUGGCAGCAGUGGGGAAUAUUGGACAAUGGGCGAAAGCCUGAUCCAGCCAUGCCGCGUGUGUGAAGAAGGCCUUCGGGUUGUAAAGCACUUUCAGUGGGGAAGAAAGCCUUGGGGCUAAUACCCUCGAGGAAGGACAUCACCCACAGAAGAAGCACCGGCUAACUCCGUGCCAGCAGCCGCGGUAAUACGGAGGGUGCGAGCGUUAAUCGGAAUUACUGGGCGUAAAGCGCGCGUAGGCGGUCUGAUAAGCCGGUUGUGAAAGCCCCGGGCUCAACCUGGGAACGGCAUCCGGAACUGUCAGGCUAGAGUGCAGGAGAGGAAGGUAGAAUUCCCGGUGUAGCGGUGAAAUGCGUAGAGAUCGGGAGGAAUACCAGUGGCGAAGGCGGCCUUCUGGACUGACACUGACGCUGAGGUGCGAAAGCGUGGGUAGCAAACAGGAUUAGAUACCCCAGUAGUC